GUGCGCGUUGGCUCCCGGCCUGCGGCCGCUGCGCACCGCCAUCUUCCUGGUGGACCGCCGCCUCACCGUCCUGGGCAGCCCGCUGCUGCUGUCGCUCCGCAACAUCGCCGCAGUCAAGGCCGCCCUCACCGGGGAUGACGCCAACCCUAAGCCUGAAAACGUCACUAUCAACCACAGAGCACUGUGUCUCGGAGGCUGCAAACGCGGUGACGGCCCCGUGUGUGGCAGCGACGGCCGGGACUUCCCCGACACGUGUGCCCUGCGGCAGGCCUCCUGCCACUCCGACGUCGCCAUCACCGUCCUUUACCGAGGUGUCUGCGAGCCGUGCCGGGACGUGCGGUGCAGCGAGGAGGGCGCGGUG
Schistocerca americana (American grasshopper) is the source of this 361-nucleotide long non-coding RNA. RefSeq lists it as uncharacterized. The transcript is spliced from 4 exons. NCBI's taxonomy places the organism in Eukaryota, Metazoa, Arthropoda, Insecta, Orthoptera, Acrididae. The record is from RefSeq and is a predicted model, not a curated record.